RNAcentral lists this ribosomal RNA (252 nucleotides) under uncultured bacterium. RNAcentral describes it as "partial 16S ribosomal RNA". It matches the Rfam family "Bacterial small subunit ribosomal RNA", at positions 524 to 776 of the family's 1533-position model. The record is from RNAcentral.
UACGUAGGUCCCGAGCGUUGUCCGGAUUUAUUGGGCGUAAAGCGAGCGCAGGUGGUUUAUUAAGUCUGGUGUAAAAGGCAGUGGCUCAACCAUUGUAUGCAUUGGAAACUGGUAGACUUGAGUGCAGGAGAGGAGAGUGGAAUUCCAUGUGUAGCGGUGAAAUGCGUAGAUAUAUGGAGGAACACCGGUGGCGAAAGCAGCAUGCCGGCUUCCUACUGACGCUGAAGCACGAAAGCGUGGGGAUCGAACAGG